This 272-nucleotide non-coding RNA is filed under the name Polytomella parva. Lineage: Eukaryota; Viridiplantae; Chlorophyta; Chlorophyceae; Chlamydomonadales; Chlamydomonadaceae. The record is from RNAcentral.
AUAUAUAGAGGGGGAAGGAGAGGAGGGAGGAAUAAAAGAGACAAGGUAUUUAGUUGGACUGUUUUUGUUUUAUUCGUUUCAUUCUUGUUUUUGUUUUCAUUUUUCAUCUUCAUCCGUGUCUUUUAAAAUUCGGAUCGUUUUUACGGACUCAUUCAUCAAGGAUCGAGGCCGUUUCGAAAAAACAUCGGGGGACCAUUCCAUUUUAUGUUCACAUACACCACCAAAUUAUGCACACAAAAAUAUCAAAUACUUGAAAAUCCAUUGUUAAAUGU